Molecule: ribosomal RNA, 253 nt
Filed under: uncultured bacterium
Lineage: Bacteria
Description: partial 16S ribosomal RNA
Rfam family: Bacterial small subunit ribosomal RNA
Source: RNAcentral
GACGAGGGGGGCUAGCGUUGUUCGGAAUUACUGGGUGUAAAGCGCGUGUAGGCGGUUGCCCAAGUCGGGUGUGAAAGCCUUGAGCUCAACUCAAGAAAUGCACUCGGUACUGGGUGACUAGAGGACCGGAGAGGAUAGUGGAAUUCCCAGUGUAGUGGUGAAAUACGUAGAGAUUGGGAAGAACACCAGUGGCGAAGGCGGCUAUCUGGACGGUUUCUGACGCUAAGACGCGAAAGCGUGGGGAGCAAACAGG